RNAcentral lists this ribosomal RNA (497 nucleotides) under uncultured bacterium. Its description in RNAcentral is "bacterial SSU rRNA". It matches the Rfam family "Bacterial small subunit ribosomal RNA", at positions 17 to 507 of the family's 1533-position model. The record is from RNAcentral.
UCCUGGCUCAGAUUGAACGCUGGCGGAAUGCUUUACACAUGCAAGUCGAGCGGCAGGCGCGGGGGGCAACCCUGGCGGCGAGCGGCGAACGGGUGAGUAACAUAUCGGAACGUACCCCGUCGUGGGGGAUAACACAGCGAAAGCUGUGCUAAUACCGCAUACGACCUGAGGGUGAAAGCGGGGGAUCGCAAGACCUCGCGCGAUGGGAGCGGCCGAUAUCGGAUUAGCUUGUUGGUGAGGUAAAGGCUCACCAAGGCGACGAUCCGUAGCUGGUCUGAGAGGACGACCAGCCACACUGGAACUGAGACACGGUCCAGACUCCUACGGGAGGCAGCAGUGGGGAAUUUUGGACAAUGGGCGAAAGCCUGAUCCAGCCAUGCCGCGUGAGUGAAGAAGGCCUUCGGGUUGUAAAGCUCUUUCGGUGGGGAAGAAAUUGCAUAGGCUAAUACCCUAUGUAGAUGACGGUACCUGGAGAAGAAGCACCGGCUAACUACGUG